AGCAGCUCUUGGGUGACACACCCCGGAAUAGGGCUCCCUUCUCUCUGGUUCUGAGUUUGUCACCUGAGAGCUGCA
Molecule: non-coding RNA, 75 nt
Organism: Myotis davidii
Lineage: Eukaryota; Metazoa; Chordata; Mammalia; Chiroptera; Vespertilionidae
Source: Rfam